This is a non-coding RNA of Myotis davidii, 64 nucleotides long. The record is from Rfam. NCBI's taxonomy places the organism in Eukaryota, Metazoa, Chordata, Mammalia, Chiroptera, Vespertilionidae.
GGCCUACCUCUUUGGGGCAAUCGAUCACAGGGCUCUGCCAUCGAUUGCCCCAAAGAGGUAGGCC